RNAcentral lists this small RNA (28 nucleotides) under Bombyx mori (domestic silkworm). Its description in RNAcentral is "ovarian small RNA-33025". Lineage: Eukaryota; Metazoa; Arthropoda; Insecta; Lepidoptera; Bombycidae. The record is from RNAcentral.
UGAUUAUGGCUUGAUCAGUGGCUUAAGU